This 253-nucleotide ribosomal RNA is filed under the name uncultured bacterium. Its description in RNAcentral is "partial 16S ribosomal RNA". It matches the Rfam family "Bacterial small subunit ribosomal RNA", at positions 524 to 776 of the family's 1533-position model. The record is from RNAcentral.
UACGUAGGGCGCAAGCGUUGUCCGGAAUUAUUGGGCGUAAAGAGCUCGUAGGCGGCUUGUCACGUCGGGUGUGAAAGCCCGGGGCUUAACCCCGGGUCUGCAUUCGAUACGGGCUAGCUAGAGUGUGGUAGGGGAGAUCGGAAUUCCUGGUGUAGCGGUGAAAUGCGCAGAUAUCAGGAGGAACACCGGUGGCGAAGGCGGAUCUCUGGGCCAUUACUGACGCUGAGGAGCGAAAGCGUGGGUAGCGAACAGG